Molecule: ribosomal RNA, 459 nt
Filed under: uncultured bacterium
Lineage: Bacteria
Description: partial 16S ribosomal RNA
Rfam family: Bacterial small subunit ribosomal RNA
Source: RNAcentral
ACUACGGGAGGCAGCAGUGAGGAAUAUUGGUCAAUGGGCGGGAGCCUGAACCAGCCAAGCAGCGUGAGGGAAGACGGUACAGCGUAUCGUAAACCUCUUUUGUCAGGGAACAAAGCCGGGGACUAGUCCCCGGCUGAGGGUACCUGAAGAAAAAGCAUCGGCUAACUCCGUGCCAGCAGCCGCGGUAAUACGGAGGAUGCGAGCGUUAUCCGGAUUUAUUGGGUUUAAAGGGUGCGCAGGCGGCCUGUUAAGUCAGCGGUAAAAGCUCGGGGCUAAACCCCGGCGAGCCGUUGAAACUGGCGGGCUGGAGUUGGAGAGAAGUACGCGGAAUGCGCGGUGUAGCGGUGAAAUGCUUAGAUAUCGCGCAGAACCCCGAUUGCGAAGGCAGCGUACCGGCUCCACACUGACGCUGAGGCACGAAAGUGUGGGUAUCGAACAGGAUUAGAUACCCGUGUAGUC